Molecule: ribosomal RNA, 409 nt
Filed under: uncultured soil bacterium
Lineage: Bacteria
Description: bacterial SSU rRNA
Rfam family: Bacterial small subunit ribosomal RNA
Source: RNAcentral
AGGACGAACGCUGGCGGCGUGCUUAACACAUGCAAGUCGAGCGGAAAGGCCUUUCGGGGUACUCGAGCGGCGAACGGGUGAGUAACACGUGAGUAAUCUGCCCAUCGCUUCAGGAUAGCCAUCGGAAACGGUGAUUAAUACUGGAUAUGACAUUCCUUCGCAUGUUGGGGUGUGGUAAAGUUUUUUCGGCGGUGGAUGUGCUCGCGGCCUAUCAGCUUGUUGGUGGGUAAUGGCCUACCAAGGCUUUGACGGGUAGCCGGCCUGAGAGGGUGACCGGCCACGACGUGGACUGACGCACGGCCCAGACCUCCGUACGGGAGGCAGCGAGUAGGGAAUAGUUGGACAAGUGGGCGGAAGCCUGAUCCAGCAACGCCGCGUGGAGGACGACGGCGUUCGGUUACGUAACCUU